GACGAACGCUGGCGGCGUGCUUAACACAUGCAAGUCGAACGGAAAGGCCCUGCUUUUGUGGGGUGCUCGAGUGGCGAACGGGUGAGUAACACGUGAGUAACCUGCCCUUGACUUUGGGAUAACUUCAGGAAACUGGGGCUAAUACCGGAUAGGAGCUCCUGCUGCAUGGUGGGGGUUGGAAAGCUUCGGCGGUUGGGGAUGGACUCGCGGCUUAUCAGCUUGUUGGUGGGGUAGUGGCUUACCAAGGCUUUGACGGGUAGCCGGCCUGAGAGGGUGACCGGCCACAUUGGGACUGAGAUACGGCCCAGACUCCUACGGGAGGCAGCAGUGGGGAAUAUUGCACAAUGGGCGGAAGCCUGAUGCAGCAACGCCGCGUGCGGGAUGACGGCCUUCGGGUUGUAAACCGCUUUCGCCUGUGACGAAGCGUGAGUGACGGUAAUGGGUAAAGAAGCACCGGCUAACUACGUGCCAGCAGCCGCGGUGAUACGUAGGGUGCGAGCGUUGUCCGGAUUUAUUGGGCGUAAAGGGCUCGUAGGUGGUUGAUCGCGUCGGAAGUGUAAUCUUGGGGCUUAACCCUGAGCGUGCUUUCGAUACGGGUUGACUUGAGGAAGGUAGGGGAGAAUGGAAUUCCUGGUGGAGCGGUGGAAUGCGCAGAUAUCAGGAGGAACACCAGUGGCGAAGGCGGUUCUCUGGGCCUUUCCUGACGCUGAGGAGCGAAAGCGUGGGGAGCGAACAGGCUUAGAUACCCCGGUAGUCCACGCUGUAAACGGUGGGUACUAGGUGUGGGGUCCAUUCCACGGGUUCCGUGCCGUAGCUAACGCUUUAAGUACCCCGCCUGGGGAGUACGGCCGCAAGGCUAAAACUCAAAGGAAUUGACGGGGCCCCGCACAAGCGGCGGAGCAUGCGGAUUAAUUCGAUGCAACGCGUAGAACCUUACCUGGGUUUGACAUGGAUCGGGAGCGCUCAGAGAUGGGUGUGCCUCUUUUGGGGUCGGUUCACAGGUGGUGCAUGGCUGUCGUCAGCUCGUGUCGUGAGAUGUUGGGUUAAGUCCCGCAACGAGCGCAACCCUUGUUCACUGUUGCCAGCACGUUAUGGUGGGGACUCAGUGGAGACCGCCGGGGUCAACUCGGAGGAAGGUGGGGAUGGCGUCAAGUCAUCAUGCCCCUUAUGUCCAGGGCUUCACGCAUGCUACAAUGGCUGGUACAGAGAGUGGCGAGCCUGUGAGGGUGAGCGAAUCUCGGAAAGCCGGUCUCAGUUCGGAUUGGGGUCUGCAACUCGACCUCAUGAAGUCGGAGUCGCUAGUAAUCGCAGAUCGGCAACGCUGCGGUGAAUACGUUCCCGGGGCU
RNAcentral lists this ribosomal RNA (1346 nucleotides) under uncultured bacterium. Its description in RNAcentral is "bacterial SSU rRNA". It matches the Rfam family "Bacterial small subunit ribosomal RNA", at positions 28 to 1381 of the family's 1533-position model. The record is from RNAcentral.